RNAcentral lists this ribosomal RNA (404 nucleotides) under uncultured bacterium. RNAcentral's name for it is "partial 16S ribosomal RNA". It matches the Rfam family "Bacterial small subunit ribosomal RNA", at positions 28 to 526 of the family's 1533-position model. The record is from RNAcentral.
GAUGAACGCUGACAGAAUGCUUAACACAUGCAAGUCAACUCUGGCGGACGGGUGAGUCACGCGUAAAGAACUUGCCUCACUGUUAGGGACUACCUUUUGCAACGAAUGCUCAUACCUGAUACUGUGGGAGCGCUUUGCGUCCCAUUAUCUAAUUGGAGAGGUAACGGCUCACCAAGGCGAUGAUGGGUAGCCGGCCUGAGAGGGUGAUCGGCCACAAGGGGACAGGGACACGGCCCUUACUCAUACGGGAGGAAGCAGUGGGGAAUAGUGGACAAUGGACCAAAGUGUGAUCAAGGAAUUCUGGGUGCAAGAUGAAGUUUUCAGAAUGGAAAGGGCGUUCAGUUGGGAAGCGGUACCAACAGAAGAAGUGACGGCUAAAUACGUGCCAGCAGCCGCGGUAAUAC